Non-coding RNA from Ameiurus melas (black bullhead), 73 nucleotides. Lineage: Eukaryota; Metazoa; Chordata; Actinopteri; Siluriformes; Ictaluridae. The record is from the annotation of a GenBank genome assembly.
CGCACGGUGGCUUAGUGGUUAGCAUGUUUGACUCACACCUUCAGAGUUGGGGGUUCGAUUCCCACCACUGCCC